UGGUGGAGUGAUUUGUCUGGUUAAUUCCGUUAACGAACGAGACCUCAGCCUACUAACUAGUUUUAUUAAUUUUCAAUUGAUGUAGACUUCUUAGAGGGACUAUUGGUGAUUAGCCAAUGGAAGUAUGAGGCAAUAACA
This 138-nucleotide ribosomal RNA is filed under the name uncultured eukaryote. RNAcentral's name for it is "partial 18S ribosomal RNA". It matches the Rfam family "Eukaryotic small subunit ribosomal RNA", at positions 1299 to 1458 of the family's 1831-position model. The record is from RNAcentral.